UGGGGAAUCUUGCGCAAUGCGCGAAAGCGUGACGCAGCAACGCCGCGUGGGGGAAGAAGGCCUUCGGGUUGUAAACCCCUUUCAGGAGGGACGAAGGUAGGGCGGUGAACAGCCGUCCCUACUGACGGUACCUCCAGAAGAAGCCCCGGCUAACUACGUGCCAGCAGCCGCGGUAAUACGUAGGGGGCAAGCGUUGUCCGGAAUCAUUGGGCGUAAAGCGCGCGUAGGCGGCCCGGUAAGUCCGCUGUAAAAGUCCAGGGCUCAACCCUGGAAAGCCGGUGGAUACUGUCGGGCUAGAGUCCGGAAGAGGCGAGUGGAAUUCCUGGUGUAGCGGUGGAAUGCGCAGAUAUCAGGAGGAACACCGAUGGCGAAGGCAGCUCGCUGGGACGGUACUGACGCUGAGGCGCGAAAGCGUGGGGAGCGAACAGGGAUUAGAUACCCUGGUAGUCCACGCCGUAAACGAUGGGCACUAGGUGUGGGAGGUGUCGACUCCUCCCGUGCCGUCGCUAACGCAUU
RNAcentral lists this ribosomal RNA (516 nucleotides) under uncultured Actinomycetes bacterium. RNAcentral describes it as "bacterial SSU rRNA". It matches the Rfam family "Bacterial small subunit ribosomal RNA", at positions 355 to 861 of the family's 1533-position model. The record is from RNAcentral. Lineage: Bacteria; Bacillati; Actinomycetota; Actinomycetes.